AGGCGCCAGGAGCCGACGAAGGACGUGGCGAACAACGAAACUGCCUCGGGGAGCUGUAAGCAAGCUUUGAUCCGGGGGUGUCCGAAUGGGGAAACCCAGCUGUGGUAAUUCGCAGUUACUCGUAUCUGAAUACAUAGGAUGCGUAGAGGCAGACCAGGGGAACUGAAACAUCUAAGUACCCUGAGGAAGAGAAAACAAUAGUGAUUCCGUCAGUAGCGGCGAGCGAACGCGGAACAGCCUAAACCAGGGGGCUUGCCUCCUGG
RNAcentral lists this ribosomal RNA (263 nucleotides) under Paenibacillus agri. Its description in RNAcentral is "Paenibacillus sp. JW14 partial 23S ribosomal RNA". It matches the Rfam family "Bacterial large subunit ribosomal RNA", at positions 35 to 295 of the family's 2925-position model. The record is from RNAcentral. Lineage: Bacteria; Bacillati; Bacillota; Bacilli; Caryophanales; Paenibacillaceae.